RNAcentral lists this ribosomal RNA (489 nucleotides) under uncultured bacterium. RNAcentral describes it as "bacterial SSU rRNA". It matches the Rfam family "Bacterial small subunit ribosomal RNA", at positions 28 to 507 of the family's 1533-position model. The record is from RNAcentral.
GACGAACGCUGGCGGCGUGGAUUAGGCAUGCAAGUCGAACGGUAGGAUACCUUCGGGUAUCUGAGAGUGGCGAACGGGUGAGUAACACGUAGGUGAUCUACCCUCAAGAUUGGGACAACCCAGGGAAACUUGGGCUAAUACCGGAUGAAAGCAGCAGUGAUGUUGUUUGAAAGGUGGCGUAAGCUGCCGUUUGGGGGAUGAGCCUGCGCUCUAUUAGUUAGUUGGCGGGGUAAAGGCCCACCAAGGCGAUGAUAGAUAGGCGGCCUUAACGGGUGGUCGCCCACACUGGGAUUGAGAUACGGCCCAGACUCUUACGGGAGGCAGCAGUCGAGAAUAGUCUACAAUGGCCGAAAGGCUGAUAGUGCGACGCCGCGUGAACGAAGAAGCCCUUCGGGGUGUAAAGUUCUUUUAUAUGUGAGCAGUGCUUUCUAUGUGAACAGCAUGGGGAGAGAGAUAUUAGCAUAUGAAUAAGCAACGGCUAACUCCGUG